RNAcentral lists this long non-coding RNA (403 nucleotides) under Mytilus galloprovincialis (Mediterranean mussel). The record is from RNAcentral. Lineage: Eukaryota; Metazoa; Mollusca; Bivalvia; Mytilida; Mytilidae.
GUCCGUUCGUCUGUCUGUUCGUUCGUUCGUCCGUCCGUCCGUUCGUUCGUCCGUCUGUCCCGCUUCAGGUUAAAGUUUUUGGUCAAGGUAGUUUUUGAUGAAGCUGAAGUCCAAUCAACUUGAAACUUAGUACAUAUGUUCCUUAUGAUAUGAUCUUUCUAAUUUUAAAGACAAAUUAAACUUUUGACCCCGAUUUCACGGUCCACUGAACAUAGAAAAUGAAAGUGCGAGUUUCAGGUUAAAGUUUUUGGUCAAGGUAGUUUUUGAUGAAGUUGAAGUCCAAUCAACUUGAAACUUAGUACAAAUGUUCCCUAUGAUAUGAUCUUUCUAAUUUUAAUGCCUAAUUAUAUUUUUUACCCAUUUUCACGGUCCAUCGAACAUGGAAAAUGAUAGUGCGAAUGGG